GGUUGUAGCUCAGUGGUAGAGUGCUUGCCUAGCAUAUGUUGAGGCACUGAAUUUGAUUCUCAAUACCACAAAUAAAUAAAUAACCAUCAACAACUAAUAAAAUAUUUAAAAAAAAAAGAAGCCUGGGGGAUGUGGCUCAGUGGUCGAGUGCCCCUGAGUUCAAUCCUCAGUACCA
This 175-nucleotide transfer RNA is filed under the name Marmota monax (woodchuck). RNAcentral's name for it is "tRNA.Ala". Lineage: Eukaryota; Metazoa; Chordata; Mammalia; Rodentia; Sciuridae. The record is from RNAcentral.